UUGUCAGUGUGCCUGAUGCUUAACCAACCCCAGUUCUUCAUAUGGCCCUAUUGCAUUGUUUGGAACUCAGUGUAAAAUACAUUUUGCAUAUUUUCUCUGGAUAAUUGCCAAGUCAUGCCAUUGCUCUUGUUUUAUCCUUUCUCUUUUCAGCUCUUUUCUGCUGUUGCUUCUCCUCAUUCCUUCCUCCCCCCAGCCAGAUGCCACAGCUCCUUGCCGCAGAUGCUGAGCCAUGCUGGAGCAGCCACGUGUAGCCAUCACGGCUCCACUGCUGGCUGCAGAGUGCCAGCUACCAGCUACAUGGAUGGGAAGGCUCCUGCCAGAAUCCAAGAUGAGCUGAGGGAAGAUGCAGGAUUAUUUCUGGGACAUGCUAAAGGAUGCCAUGUUCAAUGAACCAGAAGUCUGCUCCUAAGGUUGCUGGAGGAGAGGAAUGAACGCAGAGGAGAGGCAGUCUUCUACAUGGACCAUGAAAGUGGAGCUCUUCCCCCAAGCCUGUGUGGUGUGGAGGUCCACACAAUAAAACAGAAAGAACUGCAGCAAACUCCCACAUCUUUGACAAGAUCUCUGUUUUGGCACCAAGACAUAUAGUAGCAUAUAUAACCAACAAUGCUUUUACAUUAAAAUGCAGACUAUGCGACCUUAAAUCUAUAGUGUUUCUGAUGGUGUAUUUUCUAAGUUGGAAUACAUCAAAUGCACUCCUUGAAAUUCCAUGCAGUGCACUUGUUGUCACACCCUUUAUUCUGUCUGUAGUUGUCCCCAGCCUUGCUUCUACCUGCAGAGCU
Numida meleagris (helmeted guineafowl) is the source of this 779-nucleotide long non-coding RNA. RefSeq lists it as uncharacterized. The transcript is spliced from 3 exons. The record is from RefSeq and is a predicted model, not a curated record. Lineage: Eukaryota; Metazoa; Chordata; Aves; Galliformes; Numididae.